GGAUACGGUGGCUACGGAGGAUAUGGAGGAUACGGAGGAGGAUUUGGAGGUUUCGGAGGCGGCGGCUUCGGAGGUGGCGGCUACGGUUAUUAUGGAUAAAUGAAUGGAACUCAAUCAUGAAUGAUCGAUGUGAUAUACAAUGGCAUUAUAGAUUUUUGUUUUUU
Hyalella azteca is the source of this 164-nucleotide long non-coding RNA. RefSeq lists it as uncharacterized. NCBI's taxonomy places the organism in Eukaryota, Metazoa, Arthropoda, Malacostraca, Amphipoda, Hyalellidae. The record is from RefSeq and is a predicted model, not a curated record. The transcript has 2 exons.